Molecule: microRNA precursor, 92 nt
Filed under: Marmota monax (woodchuck)
Lineage: Eukaryota; Metazoa; Chordata; Mammalia; Rodentia; Sciuridae
Source: RNAcentral
ACAUGAAUCAUCUGGAAAUCUUUUUAAAACUUCAAAUUCCAGGGUGGAGCCUGAGGUUAUGCAUUUCUGACAAGCUUUCAGGUGAUGCUUAU